GACGAACGCUGGCGGCGUGCUUAACACAUGCAAGUCGAACGGAAAGGCCCUGCUUUUGUGGGGUGCUCGAGUGGCGAACGGGUGAGUAACACGUGAGUAACCUGCCCUUGACUUUGGGAUAACUUCAGGAAACUGGGGCUAAUACCGGAUAGGAGCUCCUGCUGCAUGGUGGGGGUUGGAAGGUUUCGGCGGUUGGGGAUGGACUCGCGGCUUAUCAGCUUGUUGGUGGGGUAGUGGCUUACCAAGGCUUUGACGGGUAGCCGGCCUGAGAGGGUGACCGGCCACAUUGGGACUGAGAUACGGCCCAGACUCCUACGGGAGGCAGCAGUGGGGAAUAUUGCACAAUGGGCGGAAGCCUGAUGCAGCACCGCCGCGUGCGGGAUGACGGCCUUCGGGUUGUAAACCGCUUUCGCCUGUGACGAAGCGUGAGUGACGGUAAUGGGUAAAGAAGCACCGGCUAACUACGUG
RNAcentral lists this ribosomal RNA (468 nucleotides) under uncultured bacterium. RNAcentral describes it as "partial 16S ribosomal RNA". It matches the Rfam family "Bacterial small subunit ribosomal RNA", at positions 28 to 507 of the family's 1533-position model. The record is from RNAcentral.